Molecule: ribosomal RNA, 468 nt
Filed under: uncultured bacterium
Lineage: Bacteria
Description: partial 16S ribosomal RNA
Rfam family: Bacterial small subunit ribosomal RNA
Source: RNAcentral
GACGAACGCUGGCGGCGUGCUUAACACAUGCAAGUCGAACGGAAAGGCCCUGCUUUUGUGCGGUGCUCGAGUGGCGAACGGGUGAGUAACACGUGAGUAACCUGCCCUUGACUUUGGGAUAACUUCAGGAAACUGGGUCUAAUACCGGAUAGGAGCUCCUGCUGCAUGGUGGGGGUUGGAAAGUUUCGGCGGUUGGGGAUGGACUCGCGGCUUAUCAGCUUGUUGGUGGGGUAGUGGCUUACCAAGGCUUUGACGGGUAGCCGGCCUGGGAGGGUGACCGGCCACGUUAGGACUGAGAUGCGACCCAGACUACUACGGGAGGCAGCGGUGGAGAAUAGUGCACAAUGGGCGGAAGGCUGAUGCAGCAACGCCGCGUGGGGGAAGACGGCCUUCGGGUUGGAAACCGCUUUCGCCUGUGACGAAGCGUGAGUGACGGUAAUGGGUGAAGAAGCACCGGCUAACUACGUG